CCUACGGGAGGCAGCAGUGGGGAAUAUUGCGCAAUGGGGGCAACCCUGAUGCAGCGACGCCGCGUGAGUGAAGAAGGAUCUCGGGACGUAAAGCUCUAUCAGCAGGGAAGAAAAGGACGGUACCUGACUAAGAUGCCCCGCCUCUAACUACGUGCCAGCAGCCGCGGUAAUGCGUAGGGGGCAAGCGUUCUCCGGAUUUACUGGGUGUAAAGGGCGUGUAGCCGGGCGGACAAGUCAGGUGUGAACUCCCGGGGCUCAACCCCGGAACUGCAUUGGAAACUGUGAGGCUGGAGUGCAGGAGGGGCAAGCGGAAUUCCUAGUGUAGCGGUGAAAUGCGUAGAUAUUAGGAGGAACACCGGUGGCGAAGGCGGCUUACUGGACGGUAACUGACGGUGAGGCGCGAAAGCGUGGGGAGCAAACAGGAUUAGAUACCCGUGUAGUC
This 442-nucleotide ribosomal RNA is filed under the name uncultured bacterium. RNAcentral describes it as "partial 16S ribosomal RNA". It matches the Rfam family "Bacterial small subunit ribosomal RNA", at positions 338 to 795 of the family's 1533-position model. The record is from RNAcentral.